UUUUAGAUAUAAAUUGUUUUUCUACCGGAAUACUAUAAAUAACAUAUUUAAAACUCAAAGAACUUGGCGGUGCUUUAGGCUUUUUAGGGGAACCUGUUUUAUAAUCGAUAGUCCACGUUAAACCUUACUUUUUUAAAUUAUCAGUAUGUAUACCGUCGUCGUCAGGUAACUUUUAAAGAAUUAAAGAGUUAGCAAUAAAAUUGAAAAUAAGUUUUAACGUCAGAUCAAGGUGCAGCUUAUAGAAAAGUAAAAAUGGGUUACAAUUAAUAUUUUUAAUUAUGAAUAUAACGUCUGAAAUAUGCUUUUUGAAGGUGGACUUAAAAGUAAAUGUGAUAAACAUAUAAAUCACUUGAACUUUUAGCUCUGAAGCGUGC
Molecule: ribosomal RNA, 374 nt
Filed under: Paludomus siamensis
Lineage: Eukaryota; Metazoa; Mollusca; Gastropoda; Paludomidae
Description: partial small subunit ribosomal RNA
Source: RNAcentral